GUUAAUGAUUAGGUGUUUAUCGUCGUUUGGUAUGUAUCGUCGUUAAUGAUUAGGUAUUUAUCGUCGUUAAUAAUUAGGUAUCAAUCGUUGUUAAUGAUUUGGCAUUUAUCGUCGUUAAUCGAUUAGGUAUUUUCGUCGUUAAUGAUUUGGUAUUUAUCGUCGCUAAUGAGUUGGUAUUUACCGUCGUUAUUUUUUUUGGUCUUCCAACUGAUUUACAAGGCGCUACUUUGGAAUUCUCUGUAGACGAAAUGCACGUCUGGAGUAUCAGAUAUGAGCAUGGUUUCUUUGAUGAGUUCUGAUAACAGAUAGAAGAUAUCGAACCAAAAAAUGAGCAUCAGAAAGGC
Molecule: long non-coding RNA, 344 nt
Filed under: Mytilus galloprovincialis (Mediterranean mussel)
Lineage: Eukaryota; Metazoa; Mollusca; Bivalvia; Mytilida; Mytilidae
Source: RNAcentral